CCUACGGGGGGCUGCAGUCGAGAAUUUUUCUCAAUGGGGGAAACCCUGAAGGAGCGACGCCGCGUGGAGGAUGAAGGUCUUCGGGUUGUAAACUCCUGUCAUUUGGGAACAAGGCGCACGUAUUAACUGUGCGUGCGUUGAUAGUACCAGAAGAGGAAGAGACGGCUAACUCUGUGCCAGCAGCCGCGGUAAUACGAAUCGUGCGAACGUUGUUCGGAAUCACUGGGCUUAAAGGGCGCGUAGGCGGUCGAUCAAGUCUGGGGUGAAAUCUUUCGGCUUAACCGGAAAAGUGCCUUGGAUACUGAUCGGCUGGAGGGAGGUAGGGGCAGCUGGAACUUCCGGUGGAGCGGUGAAAUGCGUUGAGAUCGGAAGGAACGCCCGUGGCGAAAGCGAGGUCCUGGACGUUUUCUGACGCUGAGACGCGAAAGCCAGGGGAGCGAACGGGAUUAGAUACCCGUGUAGUC
RNAcentral lists this ribosomal RNA (464 nucleotides) under Acetobacter estunensis. RNAcentral describes it as "bacterial SSU rRNA". It matches the Rfam family "Bacterial small subunit ribosomal RNA", at positions 338 to 795 of the family's 1533-position model. Lineage: Bacteria; Pseudomonadati; Pseudomonadota; Alphaproteobacteria; Acetobacterales; Acetobacteraceae. The record is from RNAcentral.